This 495-nucleotide ribosomal RNA is filed under the name uncultured bacterium. Its description in RNAcentral is "bacterial SSU rRNA". It matches the Rfam family "Bacterial small subunit ribosomal RNA", at positions 28 to 517 of the family's 1533-position model. The record is from RNAcentral.
GAUGAACGCUAGCUACAGGCUUAACACAUGCAGGUCGAGGGGCAGCACUAGGUAGCAAUACUGAGGUGGCGACCGGCGCACGGGUGCGUAACGCGUAUCCAACCUUCCCGAUACUCUUGGAUAGCCUUCCGAAAGGGAGAUUAAUACAAGAUGGUGUUUCAAUUCCGCAUGUUAUUGAAACUAAAGAUUUAUCGGUAUCGGAUGGGGAUGCGUGACAUUAGAUAGUAGGCGGGUAACGGCCACCUAGUCUACGAUGUCUAGGGGUUCUGAGAGGAAGGUCCCCCACACUGGAACUGAGACACGGUCCAGACUCCUACGGGAGGCAGCAGUGAGGAAUAUGGUCAAUGGUCGGAAGACUGAACCAGCCAAGUAGCGUGAAGGAUGAAGGUUCUAUGGAUUGUAAACUUCUUUUAUACGGGAAUAAAAACACCUUACGUGUAGGGUCUUGUAUGUACCGUAUGAAUAAGCAUCGGCUAAACUCCGUGCCAGCAGCCG